Non-coding RNA from Cyanistes caeruleus (blue tit), 2467 nucleotides. The record is from RefSeq and is a predicted model, not a curated record. Lineage: Eukaryota; Metazoa; Chordata; Aves; Passeriformes; Paridae.
CAUGGGAGCGUGACCUUUGCUAUCUAGCCAUUCCUCUAUAUCUUUCCAUAACUGCCUCUGAAGGCUUUCAUAAAGAUCCCCUUUUAUAUUACCUCCCUACUAAAAUUAUUUCAAGUUUCAUUUCCAGGUUGGGAAAAAGGCAACAUUGCCAUCACAGGCAAAUGUCACCCAUAAUCCCACUAAUCCAUUCAUCAAGGUGUCUUCAGUUUGCUGAGAUUUUUAUCCUGCUAGCUCGGUGGGAAUGUGAUUGCUGUCCAAGAGUUUUUUUUCUAUUCAGGAAACUCAAGAUAAUUGCUUAGGUUCCUCUUUUCUACAGACACGGGCUAUUGUAGUUGUUGAGAAAAUGAGGAGCACAAACCAUUCCUCAGGAAAACUUCAACAUAUCUUAGAAAUGUUGAUCCCAGUAGGCCUUAGGCCCUUGUUCUGCCAAUUGACUGAGUGUCUUAAAGGACACAGACACCAAUGAAAAGAAAGGUCAUAUUUUACUAGGAAUACUAUGGCAAAAGAAAAGUAAAAUGAUGCAUUCAGUAAAACUACAUGCUUGGCUUUAGCAACAAGCAAAAACAAGCAAGGUGGUCUCAUUACUAUGAGACUACUAUAAGACUACUAUUACUCAUUACAAGAGACAGGAUAGUGAUUGAGAAAGAUCCAUCACCAAUGGCCUAAACACUUCACCAUCAUCCAGAGUCCACGGUUGCUGUGGAGCCCCGUUUCACAGAGAGGACCUGGAGAACCCUUCACCAGCAACCGAGAAAAUCCUACACGGUGCAUCCGCCUGUAGUUGAGGCCUCCAAAUUCACCCUGAAAGUGGGCACAGCUUUUAUAGGCCCAAAUCACCAAGUCAAAGUGACUUCAUUACAUUUUUAGCACAGGAACACCUGGAUCUGAUGGCACACUUCCCGACCAGCAGAGGCCAGGCCUUGGCCAGAGCCCAGGCCUUGUCUGGAAGGAUUUCCCCUAAAAUAUCCUACAAACAAGCCUCUAUUCAUGUCAGUUGGGAAAACGUCUUAAAAUUAGGGAUUUCUUGCAGAUAGCUACACAAGGUUAUGUAACAAGAAUGUCCAUCCUAAAACAGUGACAUGGGUUCUUGUGACCAACACACAGCUUCAGUAAAAGCUGAAAUGAUAUUUUCAAGAGGUGAGCCCAAGCUGAGGACAUGCAAACGUGAGAAAUGUUUAGGCUGGAGAGGGUCCAGGAGGGACAGAAGUGAUCAAAGGGCUGGAGAACCUGUGCUGUGAGGGAAGACUGGAGCAGUUGGCUCUUUUCUCCGUGGAGAACACGAGGUUCUAUGUACCUGAUUCCAGUACUUAGAGCAGAGAUACAAAGGGGACAGAGCAUCUCUGCUCACAAAGAGCCACAUGGAGAAGACAAGGAGCAGCAAUAUAGAGCCAGUCUUAAAGGUGCAGAAUUUAAUAUACAACAUAAACUAGGCGAUUGGUGAUGCCAGUAUCAAAAAGUCACCCCAGGACACCGAUGCAGAUCCAGUGCAGGGGAGAGAAGGGAGCGAGCACCCAGCUGCAGGAAAAGCACACAGAUCCUCCUCUUGCGUUCCAGCUGCUGGUAACUGUUGACUGUUGGCGUGUCUCAGCAGUGCCCAUCUUGCAGCUUUGACUCCUUUGACCUAUGGUGAGUCAUCCUGAGAUUCCAGGGAAAUUCCCCCCUGGCCCCAGGUGCUCUUUAUGACUUAGAUGUUCUUCCACAGGUUUUUGGUGUCUGUUAUGGUUAAGCUGCACAGGAUUCAGUGAGAAUUGACACAGCUGCAGUCAGAAUUACAGCCAAUUCCCCCAAAAACAGCAUUGGGGAACUCCCAAUAUUUAAUAGUUCGGGUGAAGUUUUGCUGGUAGCUGUUGGACAUUGGUAUAUUUGGUUGACAAGUAAGGAAACUGCUCUUGGACAGUCAGACUUCCACCAGAUCAGUUGUGAGGACACAUAAAGCAGAAUAUUGGUCAGCAGUGCCACCUUUUUAUCAAGGAAUUGAAGCCUUAAUGUGUGGGAAACAAUAAAGGUAAGAAGACUCUCAGAAGCCACGAAAAUAAGCCUCAAGAAAAAGCAGAGAACUUAGAGCUAGUUGCAGCUGCAAGGCCUGAAAGUAAAGAAGAUACAAUAAUACAACAUGCAAGGACAUGAAACAAUAGUUGAGUUUUUAGGCUUGGCCAAGAUAGACCUUAAGACUGCAGAAAAACAUGCUUACCAAAAUAGUGGAAAGUUUUAAGCUUAAUAACAGAGUAUUGUGUAUUGUUAGUAGAAAGCAAACAAGCAAGCAUUGUUUGAAGAAGGUGUACGUAUGUUUCUAGCGACUGGAUAGAACAAUUGUCUGUAAGGUUUAGCAAUAUGAUAUUGGCUGAAAACCUUAUAAAAUAUUCUGUAACAAAGAGAUCUUGAGCUACUUGUGGUAGACAUGAGCCUGCUCCAUCUCCUGUAUCUGUACCUGAGACUGGUGCCUGAAAUAAAAGUUUAUGACGUAUCA